This 502-nucleotide ribosomal RNA is filed under the name uncultured bacterium. RNAcentral describes it as "partial 16S ribosomal RNA". It matches the Rfam family "Bacterial small subunit ribosomal RNA", at positions 28 to 523 of the family's 1533-position model. The record is from RNAcentral.
GAUGAACGCUAGCGGCAGGCCUAACACAUGCAAGUCGAGGGGCAGCACAGAAACAGCAAUGUUCUGGUGGCGACCGGCGGACGGGUGCGUAACGCGUAUGCAACCUACCUUUAACAGGGGGAUAACGGAGAGAAAUUUCCACUAAUACCCCAUAACAUCGAUCAAGGCAUCUUGAUUGGUUGAAAACUCCGGUGGUUAAAGAUGGGCAUGCGUUGUAUUAGGUAGUUGGUGAGGUAAAGGCUCACCAAGCCUACGAUACAUAGGGGGACUGAGAGGUUAGCCCCCCACACUGGUACUGAGACACGGACCAGACUCCUACGGGAGGCAGCAGUGAGGAAUAUUGGUUAAUGGGGGCAACCCUGAACCAGCCAUGCCGCGUGCAGGAAGACGGCUCUAUGAGUUGUAAACUGCUUUUAAACAGGGAUAAAGCACAGUAUGUAUACUGUGUUGAAGGUACUGUAAGAAUAAGGAUCGGCUAACUCCGUGCCAGCAGCCGCAGUAA